RNAcentral lists this RNase P RNA (399 nucleotides) under Candidatus Zhuqueibacterota bacterium. Its description in RNAcentral is "candidate division KSB1 bacterium (freshwater sediment metagenome) RNase P RNA component class A". It matches the Rfam family "Bacterial RNase P class A". From Rfam's summary of the family: Ribonuclease P (RNase P) is a ubiquitous endoribonuclease, found in archaea, bacteria and eukarya as well as chloroplasts and mitochondria. Its best characterised activity is the generation of mature 5'-ends of tRNAs by cleaving the 5'-leader elements of precursor-tRNAs. The record is from RNAcentral. Lineage: Bacteria; Pseudomonadati.
GGAGCAAAUCGGGUGAUCGCGUCUGAUUGCCAUGACGGAGUGAUGUAUGUGCUCUGCUUGAGCAACAGAUGAGGAAAGUCCGCACUCCACAGGGCAGGGUGCCUCGUAAUUCGAGGGAGGCGAAAGCCUAUGGAAAGUGCAACAGAAAAAAUACCGUCUGCUAACGGCAGAUAAGGGUGAAAUGGCGAGGUAAGAGCUCACCGCUCAGCCUGUGAAGGCUGGGGCAUGGUAAACCCCACCCGGAGCAAGACCAAAUAGAGGGAAGAAGUUGCCCGCUUCGAUCAACUCGCAUCUUCGAUGCGUGGAAUCCUCGGGUAGGUUGCAUGAGCUAUCUGGUGACAGAUUGCCAAGAUAAAUGAUCACCGAAAACAGAAUGCGGCUUAUAGAUUUGCUUCGGAU